This 38294-nucleotide long non-coding RNA is filed under the name Mytilus galloprovincialis (Mediterranean mussel). The record is from RNAcentral. Lineage: Eukaryota; Metazoa; Mollusca; Bivalvia; Mytilida; Mytilidae.
CCUAGAUGGAUUUUUAUUCAUUCAAUCAAUUACAACAAGCUACAAAACGUUAGAUAAGUUGUGCCCAUAAUCUGUUAGAUAUGAAUAACAUUUUGCUGUUGCAGGAAAAGGACAGUUCUAUAUGAGUUUUAUAACAGUUAGCUUUAGUAUUGAACAUGCAAUGUUUAUCUAGUAUUAUCAGUUUUAUUAAACACGGACGAGCAACUAGUCAUCUGUUCUAUUGCCAGAGGUAAGCAUAUAUUACAAAAAUGUUUGAUUUAAUUACAAGCUAUAAUUGCUAACAGUAUGACACAUGGCUAGAUGUAAAAUAUUUUUUAUAGGUUUAAUUUGUUGUUAGAAUACAAAUCAUGUGAUAUUUAUUAUUUCAUUUUUUAACCGAGAUGUGAGUUGUAGCUUCGAGUUCUUAAUCUUAUUGCUUGAUUCGUACAAAUAAAUUUCAAACAGUGUUUACCAAUUUUAUUAUAGUAUAUACCCAGUAGGUAUGUAAUAAAGUUGAAAGUAAAAUGAGUAGUUAUAAAGCUUGCUGAAUCUGUCAUAUUAUAUGUGUAAAGAAAGCGUAUUUAUCCUCUGGUUUGUUUAGUGGUAUUAUAUCAUGCUGACAUGUUAUUCCGAACUAUCUCCCUCAUAUAUAUAUUUAUCAUAUAUGUUAUAACUUUUAGUUCAUAAUAAAUCAUAUAACUAUAUUUCAGUUUGUAAACAAAAAAUAAUUUCAUUUUUGUAUGAAGAAGGCCUUAAAAAAAAUGUCACACAAACAAUGCCAACUCACCUUGUACAAUUCUAAUUUAAAUUCUUUGAAUAUCAAUAAAAACAUAAACUUGCGACAUAUAUCCGGAUCCAUAGGUGGAAUAAUUGUGUUACAGACAGUGCUUAUAUCACUAUUUACAGCAUUCUUAAGUCACCUAGAUUAAUACAUUUUUAGUGCAUUGUUUCGGAAAUUUGUCAACUAUUAUUAUGAUACAAUCUUAAGCUUAUUAAAGUACAGAUCAUGCAUGUGUCCACGCUCCGCUUGGAAGAAUCUGACCGCGCUCCGUUAUACUUUCAGGCAAUAUUUGAUAAGUAUUUGAAAGAUUAGUUGGUGUUCUCUGUCUUUGUUUUUACAAUAUACAUGUUACUUUCCAAAUUAUCGGCCGAUUUUUUUAUUGGAUGAUUUAACAAUUACCAGAACGGAUAUGUUGAUAGAUCGUUGUAAGCCAAACAUGAACAAGUCAUCUGUGUUUUAGCCACAGUAUAUGUAUUUAUGAUUAAAGGCGAAUCUUAACGAUAUAAUACAGGGACAGAAUGCUUUUGAACAGAGCUGGUUUUUAGUAGUUUGUGCCUUCAAUGACAGACAAAUGCAAAUUAUCCUCACCAAAUCAUAUACUAUGAUCUACCAUUUUUAACUGGAGAUCGUUUAAGUAUCUGACAUUUUCCCAGUCAUAAGUUUUGAUUUGCACAACUUGAAAUACAUUUCUACAUUCAUGAACAGUAAUAAACUAGAUGUGUUGCUUGGUAUAAAAGAAAAUCAGCAAGUUUGGGUUGCUGUGUUCUUUGGGUUUGUUCUAGUUUGGAAAUAUAUUUACUGGUUUCGGUAUUUGUUAAGUCUUUUCCCGAAAAGUUGUCUAUAUACUGUUAAUAUACGUCUCGAUAUGUUACAACUUCCCGGUCGAUUUUGUCUAUCGAAAAGCUAUAAUUUAUACAGGGCUCAAAUCCACAAUUAAAUAAACCUCUUCUGAAAUUUAUCCCAACUAUGUUAGAACUCCAUUUACAUGGGUAAAUAUUUUUUCUUCCAUCAAAAGAUUUCUUUUAGGUAUAUAUUGUGUCAUUGAAUUUUAUAACACAUCCACUAUCUUAAAGGAGCUACGAGAUAUGUAAAAAAUCUAAAUUAUGAUCUCGUUUGUUAAAUCAUUGGUGAAGGUGAAAAAGUGAAAUAAUCAUGAUCUUUAAAAGUGAAAAAAGGUAAAUCAUUUAAUUAACUGAUACAUCCACAAAAAAUCAAUCUUAUAAAACGAUGAUUUACAUAUAUGUUUAAUAUGAAAUUAAACAGACCUAGAAAGAUAUGAUUUCACGAGUUCGCUUAAUUUAUUUAUAUCUAUAAUUUUGUUAUAUCGCUUAUAUGACCAUAGGAGGUCUUCGGAUGUAAUCUCGAUUUUUGAUUGGAUGGCGUCUAGACUGAAAUACACAUAAUACGAAACUAUAUAUUAUCGAGCCUAUGCUCUGUUAACGGUUUAUUUUAGACUUUGUAUAGUUGGGAUUUAUGUUUUCCAUUGUUAUAAAUCAAAUAUGAGAAUUUGAGUCAAAUCGGUGAAGAUAAUUUUGAAAGCUAGUGCCCCCUUAAGGUGGUACCCAACACUUUCACUAAAAUUAAUUUGGCUCGUUUAAUUUUCAUAAAAUUUUGACAAAGUAUUUACUUUGACUAAUUGACAAAAAUAUAAAAAUUUUAAAAAUUGUGAACCAACCAAUUUAUCAGAAAAUUUUCAUUGGUUACAUAGUAGUUUGACAAACACUAAUUUUGAUCAUUGAGAAGCUUAAUAUUUCCUUAAAAACACUACGUAAUUAAAAUGUUUAGCUGAUUUUGUAGAGUUAUCUCCCUGUAGUGCUAGGUACCACCUUAAAUACCUUUUCAAACGGUAAUUGCAAUCGUUUACAUCUUUUAAUUUUGGUGGAAUAUGUAUCUCCCACAUUUUGCUCCAUAAAAUAGAAAUAUCAAGAAUAGUACCUAAAUAGAUCCUAAACACUUUAUACACCGUAGGUAAAAUAUACCGAACCAAGUGGUGCCUUUAAUACAGCUAAAGUACAAUUUAAGAAUUUGGCAAUUAUUGAUAUGAUCGGGAAUGUUUUUUUAAUUAUAAGAAACAAGUUUACUAAUGAAGGCAUUAGAAAAUGUGGUAAAUUUGAAUAACAUCAUAAUAGUACGGUUACUGCACAAGGAUAUAUAGUUUUUAAUCGUUUAUGAAAGAGGAACGAAAGAUACCAGGGGGACAAUCAAACUCGUAAAUCGAAAAUAAACUGACAACGCCAUGGCUAAAAAUGAUAAAGACAAACAUACAAACAAUAGUACACAUGACACAACAUUAAAAACAAAAGAAUAAGCAACACGAACCACACCAAAAACUUGGGGUGAUCCGGAAGGGUAAGCAGAUCCUGCUCCACAUCUGGCAAGAGGUUUUAUGUUACUUUAAGAAUUUGACCUCAUUUUACGAUUUAACAUAAUGAAUACAGAUUCCAAAAACAUAAAUACAAUUACCACUCACUUUGUUUCAGAAACUUUUAAGAUUAAGAAAGUAUGCUGAAUGUUAAUUAGGUUACAGUGUAUUUAGUCUGAAUAUUUAAGUCUGUUAGAUAAGAAAUACCUUGCAUACGAUGUUGUUGUCUUUGAAAUGAUAUAUUGAAAACAUAUGGACCAUUAACUUCCGCGAAAGAGUAAAAAAGAAGAACAAGCUGAUGUGCAUUAGUAAAUAUUUUCAAAGAUAAGUUUUACUUAUAAGAGACAAUCUUUAAGAGGCUUUAUCUCUGCCAAUAUACACUGAGAAAAUGUAGGAUUUAUUUCUCCAUACAGUUUUAAACUUUUAACUUGAAAAAAACAAUUUAAACGGUAUUGAUGAAUAAAGCAAACUUGAUAAUUACAGAUUCUGAAGCUAAUUCCAGCAUAGUUAAUUGAUUAUACGGUCACAACAAAAUUCUUCUGAGUUUAACACUAACACUAACUAAAGUUAAAUCACAUUAAGGAGUUUUGUUUAUAAAGUGACAAUUCAGUUAUUGUUAAGAAGAUUUUAUCAACACAACUGUGUUUUCAUAAACCCAUGAGGACAUUAGUUGUAUGGGUUAUUUACUAACACAUAUCUUUGACAGUAGAUGCAAAAAGGAACAGUCCCAAGUUAUAAGUCCAAGAAAAACAGAUACCGCCAUAGAACAAACAAACGAACAAAGAUGAAUAGAUAAAAAAAGUCCAGAACAUUACACAUUACACAGUGCACCGGAAGGUCGGGCAUAUACUGCUCCCAUUGUGUAGCUCGUUAUGUGGCGUACUUAGCAUUGCUAAAGCUAUUUGCAUAUACAUGUAGAUGAUAACAGUAUUGAUGAAAAACAAAACGAACCUAACAGGCAAGUACACACAAUAAAAUGAAAGUCAAUAUAAUGACACCUACUGUAGACUGUAGACUGUCGUCAUUUAAAAGACAGGGACGAUACGAUAUAACAAAUUUCAUAGAUUUAUGCAAACAGAUGUAGAUGUUAAUGAUUAUUUUUCUGAGAUAAUUUUCAAAUUCCAAACGAAUAAAUCAAAUAAUGUUUUGUACAUGAUUUCAUGUCAGACGUGUAGGUGACAUACUUACAGAAACAGUUGCUACUGGAUAUCAAACAUAGUAUACGUGGUAAAUAUAAUUCUCCAAAAUGGCAAUAGUAGGGGAAAAGUGAUACAAAUAAAAGGAGUUAUGAUAAGUGAUAUAUGAUGCGUCAAAAUAUAGAAAUAAAGCGUUUAUAUAAGUAUGACAUUGCUUUUAUAAACUCUUUAACAGAUACAGAUAAACAAAAAUAUACCUGAUUUUGUAGUCAUUUUGCGAAAACAUCCGAAAAAAACCCAACACGUGACAGAAGCGUUGUUUCAUGUGAAGUUAAUCGAUUAAUCUUACUGGUUAUUUUUAGCUGAAUACCUCAGUUGUUUUCAAAUAUCUCUGUUGUAAAAACCUGCAGGAGAAAUCAUUGUACUUGUCGCUUUUGUUAAAAAAAAUCUCUUUCACAUGUUUUUUUACGUGCAUAAAACGCCUACGUUUGAUUAUGUAGAUAUAAUGUCAUUUCAUAGUUUAAUUAAUAUCCAAUCUGUUUUCUCCCCCAUAAAGAUAAGAUAUUAUUAAGUGAUGAAAAAAUAGUUUAACACAAAUUCCGUCGGUACCUUAGCAGAAUAUCUAGUCUGAGGAAGCAUUGAUUGAUAAAUUAUCCAUGUAAUACAAAGUUUUAUGAUUAAUCGCCAUUCUAAGAUUUGCAAUAAUAGAUGAUGACAGUUAGUUCAUUCACCAUAGGGCUUUAGUCUUCCCUAGUUACAUCACGGUGUUUACUUUCCAUCAUAAAGUUGUUCAACAUAUCGACUUCUUUUAUCAUAAAAAGAAAGUUCGUGCCAAUAUGUCAUUUCACAAGAAAAGACGAUUGUUUACAAACAAACAUCGAAAUAAAGUAUUUCAAUUGGUCACAUAACGUGUAAUGUAAAAAAAAAAAACAAAGAUAUUGUUAAUGAUAAAAAAUAAACUAGUUUACUUGGAAAAUAUAAUAUUUAGCUGUAAAGUGCAUUUGAUGCAGAUUAAUAGAUGAUGAAAUUACAAAUUCAAUCUGCUCUCUUAAAGGGGAUCGGUGUUUGAGAGGUCUACCAAAGUUAUCUUUUGUAUGAGUACCAGUUCAAACUUCGUAAGUGACACUAAAACUUUUAAUUAUUCAAUAAAAAAAAUAACCAAAGAAAUCAGAGAAUUAUAAUAUACCAGUUUGUCUUUCAGAAUUACAUGUAGCAGUAUUAUUUAAAAUAAACUGCUGAUUUAAAAAUUUAAGAAAGUUAUUAUAACAAAAAAAAGUGAAAGAAAAUGGAGAGUGUGUGGAUUCAUUAGAAGCGUGUUUAAGUCAAAACUGUUAACAACAUUCAAUCCGGUUGAGUUAUUCAUCAACUACUUAGAUUUCAGUAAUUGUGGAUGAAUGUUUCCCUCAGUUUUAGUUUGUAACACGGAUUUCUUUCUCAAUUGAUUGAUGAAUUUCGAACAGCAGUAUACUACUGUUGCCUUUAUUUACAAUAGAUACAAGAUUAACAACUAUUUAGAUAUAUUUCCAAAAAGGUUCAUAUGAACUAUUAGAAUGUCGAAAUGUUCGCGAUACAACAGCAUCGAAAUAUCGACAAUUGCAUGAAUGUUAAUUUUGAGGACUUACAUUUUUCUGUCUAUUUAACUGACCUUGUGGCAGUUAUUCGAAUUAAUGAAAACAGAAAUCGAAAAAUGUUAAUUAAAGUACUCAUAAUUAAAAAAAAAUAAGGAAGAAUGUUUUUUUUAGAUAAAUUGACUGUUAGCAAAUAAUAAGGAUUUUCUUAUCUAAGGCAUAGAUAACCUUAACCGUAUUUGGUACAACUUUUUUUUUUUAAUUUGGGGUCAUCAAUGCUCUUCAACUUCGUACUUGUCUGGCUUUCUAACUAUAUUGAUCUGAGCAUCACUGAUGAGUCUUAUGUAGACAAAACACGCGUCUGGCGUAUUAAAUUAAAAGCCUGGUACCUUUGACUACUAUUAAAACGACAAAAACUUAAAAAAACAAAAAAAAAACACAGGUGGAAGAUAGUGAGAAAUUUUAAAAUUGGAAGACAAAUCUAAACUGAAAAUAUUGCACGAGUAUUGUCCUUUUUAGAAUAUAAAUUACCCGUAAAUAUCUUGCAAUUAAUUAUAAUGUAAUAACUCUUAUGUUUUCUAUACAGACUUUUAGUUUGACUGUGCCAAUCCGACAUUGUUAUUCUCUCUUUCUGGUCAACUUUUGUUUACUGUAUGUUUACACUGUAACGAUUUAACUUGCGAUUUUAUUUCCAUCAUGAUUGUUUUUGGUAUAUGUUUUUCUUAUUCCAUGGGAGCUAUUCAAUUAGUGCUUCAAGAUGGUGAAAGUGUAAUCAUUCCUUCACACGGUCCUCGCCAAGUUCAUUCAUUUCUUUUUUACACUCACUCUGGACGAUUUUAGCUUUGAGCUUUGAUCUAUCAUAGUUUCCUCGGUAGAGUGUUACUGCUACCAAGGAAUGUAAUGAUUCAAUGAUUCUAAGUGAUAAAGAGUACCAUCAUGAUUUGGUUGACCAAAUAUCUGUAUUAAUUAUGACGACAGUUCUGCUUCCCUUGUCAUAAUCACAAUCCUGUACUCUUUUAGUCGACUGUGACAUAACCAUAUGCGACUUAAGUGGAAAUGCAUCCUUUGUAUAGAUGAAUGUUAUGAAAGAAUCAGGAUCAAAUGAAGGAACAAUCGGUGGAAAAAAAUGGACAAUUUAAUUAUGACUGUCGUUAAAAAAUACCCAUCAAUUAAACGUACCAUAUGUUUUGCUAAAAAAAUCAAGCAUCAUGAUUAUGCCAGUUGGGAUAACUUUAUGUUUGAGUAAAUGUGGUCUUAACAAAGAAUAUACGUUGGACUUACCCUUACCAAAGUCAUUGUUAUUUUUUCAGUCAAUUCUGUCAUUUUUUUUUUAUAGAAUACUCCUGUGUUAAGGUAACAUAGAUAUUUUUUUAUAUGCCUUUAAAAAAAACUUUUAUUUAGUCUAACAGAUCAUUAGAUGCUUUACUAUCCAUAUAUGAUUCACACUGCACCUGGGGUAGGAUGUUUUACAGUAACCACGAACCCAGUUUUCAUUGCUAAACGGACGCAAUAAAUGUGCGUUAUUGUAAAAAAAAGUGUCCGAAAAGCUUUUUUGAAGUUAAAGAAGAAACAAAACAUUGCAUAAAGGACACGUGUGUGUUAAAAGAGAAUUAGAGGAACUUUAAUGUCUGAUUAAUCAUCUGAUUGAAUUUCUAAAGUUCGAAAAAGUUUUGCCGAAUACAACCAUAGUAAUCUAUUCCUAGAGUGGUCAUGUAUUUAUAAGUACAUUAUAAAAGUGCAGUUCUGACUCAACCAUCCAUCCUUUAUGUAAAUUCAAACAUUAUUAAAAAAAAAUUUGAAUAUACAGACUUAUUAACAAGUCAUAAAACACCGCUUUAUCUCAAUAUCUUUUCGAUCUCAGUCCUUUUUCCCCUGUAUGUAUCCAUCAGUCUCGAUAUUGAUAGAAAUGCAGAUAUUAUUUUAAUUAAGUUAUUUGUUUUUAAUCAACAGUGCUAACACUGAUAAUACAAAACGUAAGUGAUGUACAUUUCCAGAAUACUUUGUCUCAAAGGGAUGUGUUCAUCGUUUAUAUUAAAUCAGAUAUUCCCACAAGAAGGAAACUUUAGAAUCGUUUCUCAACAAAUUAAUCAACCAUUUUAUUUCGAACGUACAGCGUAUAAAUAAAUAUUGAUUUAAUGACAAAAGACAACUACAAUGUUAAUUGUUUCUGAAUACAAAUCAUUCUGCUUUCUAAUUAUGUAUUAUCUAGGAUUGACAUAAGGGUGUCGCGGUGUACUGUAGAAGGACAGUAUUUAUAAACUUUAUAUGCAUAAGGAAAGAAAGGCAAUUAGAAACCCAUGCAUUGCAGAUAAGGAGAAGUGUAGGACCGAAACCUCUUUGAAAACUUAUGAAAAAAAGACGGAAUAUUAAUUGAAUAAAUAAUCUGAAUAGAAGCGACGCUUAAUUAAAGGGUCGCUACGUCUGAAUUUUUUUUAAUCAUUUAAUGCAUUUUGGCAGAUCAAUUAUGGUUAUUGUAAUGCCGUUUUUAGUACGGAGACAACAUUUCCUUAUGUUUUAAUUGUGUUGAACAUAAUUUGCAUUGUAUGGCAUGUAGUGUUGAUGAAUCGUUCAGCAAAUAUUAAUCUACUAUUCGAUCAGUCAAAUAGAACACACAUAUUCAUUCACAGUUAUUCUGGAGUAUUUCAUCUUUAUACCAUCACACGUUGGUUGACCGUUAUGGAAUAACCGUUUCACACAGAUAUCGGGUAUGUUCCUUACGUCGUAACUACAAUCCCCUUCCCUUUCAUGAAUAUGACCUACCGAAUUAGACUAUUCACCGGAUUUGUUAUAACAUGAGCAACACAACGGGUGUUACAUGUGAAACAGGAUCUGCUUUCUCUUUCAGAGCACUUGAGAGCACCCCCAGUUUUUGGUGGGGGUUCGUGUUGCUUAUUCUUUAGUUUUAAAUGUUGUGUCAUGUGUACUAUUUUUUGUCUGUUGGUCUUUUUCAUUUUUAGCCAUGGCGUUGUCUGUUUAUUUUCGAUUUAGGAGUUUGACUGUCGCUUUUGGUAUCUUUCCUCCCUAUUUUAAUUUAUACUGAGUGACCAGUAUAUUAGAAAAUCUCUGCAACUUUAAAUUUUCAUACAUGGUAACAUAUAUAUAGUAAAAACAUGGUGAUCAAUAUGUUGUACCUCUAACUAUUAAUAUUGAUAAAAAGAAAAUAUAGUGAUUAUUAUCCCUUAAAUGAACCGUUUUUCUAUAAUUACGUGAGUUGUUUUUCGAGGUCAAUCACAUUUUGAAUUUAACUUAUUAAAUUAAUAAAUACAUCGCUAACAUUUGUGACUUUACAAUAUCAGCUAUUGACUACUUGUAUUACUGGCAUAAUAGUGUCAACCUGCUUCGUACAAGGUAUCAGCUGUAUGAACUUUCCGCAUAUUUUAAAAACAUUUAGGUUGUUUUAAUGACUGAUUAUUCCUCUUUUUGUGGACUUUGAAUCGACGGAACCAGUUUAAGUGAGUUCGAUUAUUGUUGAACUGUUACCCAAUACAACAUGCAGUUAAAACGAAUAUGACAAAACCCCUCAGAGGUAAAAUACCAGUAUUUCCAUUUUGAAUUGUUCUUCAAAAUCCCUGAUUUUGAUCAGUAAUGGCCGUCAUUCAAAGUAAACAUUCACAAUUUAUUAUACCGAGGUAAAACUUUAUUCCGGGAGUCUAGUUUUAUGUUAAUUUUGAACAAUUGAGUUAUUUUAAUUGAUUUAAAUGGGUGGUUACCAAAAUAUUUUUUUAUACAGAACUAUUUAAAUAAUGAAUGAAAACAAUAUAAUUACAAAUUUACUGUUUCAUCAAAUCUUCAAUUAUAUGAAGCACACAUGGUUUUUCAACAACAAGUCGUUCUGUUGUCCGUAAUCUGAACAAAUUUUCGGAAUUAUCGGUUUGUUAAUUUCCUUCACCUUUGUAAUUGAAUAGGCCUUCAAUCUGAUUUAAUUAGAUUGCCGCUGAAGAUGUGUGUGUGUAUACAAGCGGGGUAGAAGAUACCAUAGGGACAGUCAAACUCAAAAUGCUCAUCUGCCGUACCAAAUAUAAACCUGGUUCAAUAAAUGAUUUGUAUACAGCUACUAUGUCCAUUCCAAUGUUAUUGGUCGUCUCGUAUACGAGAGUAUGACAAGCCCCGUUGGAAGCACUCUUGUGCUGACAGGAAAUGUUACGUAUAUAUAUUUAUUUUCAUUAAAUGUAUCGUUUAAAAAUGUUGAGUUAUUCGAAGCAUUAACGUUUUUCUACUCAAGGAAUUGGCUUAGCUGUAUCACAUUAAUUUUCGAAUUUAUCAGUUUAAAAUUCUCUUUGUAUUUGAUUUGGAGGUUAAACUGUUCCAUUUCGAGCACCACUGCUGAUUCCCAUUGAAAGGAAAUGCGAGUCUUGUUUCCUCGAAAUAAGCCUAUAAUUUUAAAGGAUUUUUUAUUUCGACGCCAGGGUCAACGACACUGCGGACGGACAUUUCGUCUACGAUGCUUUACCAGUCAAGUAGUCAGCACGUUUUUGAUUACAUGUACUAUCAUUAGUUCAUAAUCUUAAAAUUUACUGUAAAUAAUUAACCAAGUUUAAUCCUCCCUGGCAAAAAUUCCCAUAAUCGUAUUUGGAAGAACGUUUUGAAAUUUACAGUCGUUUAUGCUCUUAAAUUUGAAACUUGAUUUCCAACUGUUCCGGUUUGAGGGGGCAUUAGUCUUCUGUAGACAAAACGCUUAUUAUGCGUCCCAAAUUAUAAGUCUGUUAUAUUUAAAGAGUAAAUACAGGAAUAUGAUGUGUCGCGCGAGCGCAAUAUCAUAUCCUUUUUUUUUCAUAAUGGACGGCUUCCAAAUGUUUGAAAAAUGUUGUUCUUGAAAUAGAAAUGUCAUAACAACAAAACUCUGAACUCUAUUGGGAAAUGAAGAUAAUACUCAUUACAAAAAUAUAUAUAUGAUAGAUGUGUUUAUACAGUUGUUUUCUAAAAUCAAGAUCCUAUCUUAAAUAUAUACAUGAAAUGAUAUAAUAUCAUGACGAACUGACAGUAUCUGUCUGUUUGAAGUCGUAGAAAUGUAAUUUCAAUUCAUAGUGUUUGAGAUCCUGCUAUUUGAUUUAUCAAUUGUUUGCCUUUUGAUUUCACAUUAAGUAAUUUUAUAAGACUUGUAACAGUAUGUCUUUCAUUGAUUAUUUACCAAUGCUCAAAGAAAAAGAAAAAUCGAACACUUUUGAAAUUGACAGAUCCGCUGCACAUAUCUUUCAUCCAUGCAUAUAAUAAAAAUUGUAUUACCAACAACUGUUUGUCGUACGCAGUGUGUGUUAUCUAUUUUAGUUUGUUUGUAUAGUUUGCAAGAGUAAAUUCAACAGCUUUAUAAAUAUAGAAAACAUUACUAAUUAUAGCUGCCAAAUCUUUUAUUAACGAUGUUAUUAUGUACUAUACAUAAGAAAACCCAAUUUCAUUCGAUCAGUCUAUUCGUAAGAAUUAUUUACAAUUGUGUAAAAGAAUGUAUCAACGGUUGAUAAUAAAGAUCCGCUAUUUGCGAGUAUGAUCUCAAAAGACUCGAUAAUAGUCCGUCGGAAGGAGACGAUAAAUGACUGACCCGUGUUAAGAGAGAGCCAUUUAUUUUGCAAAAAGACACCCUUAUAGAUUUCAAAAAAGAGCAGGCUAAUGCCGCUUCAAGGCAGCACUCGCAUUUCCAAAGUGACAAGGGAUUAAUAUAAGUUGCAAUAACUUGUUUCCCAAUCCACUAUAAGUAAACAUGUUUAAACUAAUAAAGAUCCGCAAUUCAGGGUUCUUCUAUUUUUAAAUUAACUGGACCAUGAUUCUUCUUUAUCUAUGAAAGUACUCAUCAUCGAGGAAAUUAAUCACCACACAAACAGCCCUGUACUAAGUACUCCUUUCCGUAAAGAUAGAGACUUUCUGGAUAAGGGAAUUAGGGACUGCAACGCCAUAUACUUGCAAUGACAAUGUCAAAGGAGUAUGAAAUUUGUUCUGCCUGCAGUGAUGUUAAUGUAAUGAUUUUAUUUAAUACUGCCUUACGGCAACAACGUAGUCAUGGGCAAAAACAUUACCAUCGGCCUAAUAUUAAAAAGUCUUCCAAAUCUAGAUCGCCCUCUGGGAACUUUGAUGACUUUCUUUUACAUCUUCAUCAUCCAUUAGGGUUUCAUUGUAUUAUUAUUAUUACUACUAUUCUUUUUUCACUGCCUGUUAAUUUUCUUAAAUGUUUGAGAGAUUAUGCACUUGACAAAGGAGGCAUCAAUACGUUUUCUCCAAUAUACAGACUUGUCAGCAUAAUUUGUGAUGGAGCUCUUUUCCGUCUUUUCAAAUCAGUAAGAUCGGACUUUUUCUUAUUCACUUUACAAAUAGAGGAAUUGAUGUAAUCAACAUCUGCAACGUUCUUUUUCACAAAGAGGUAACAUCUAAAAUUCCUAUUUAUUUUCAAAAUCAGUCAGUUCCUGUUGUAUCCUACAGUUACACCAAACCAAUUGCACCCAAAAUAUUUAACUAUAAACAAGCAUUGCAAGGCCUUGAACAAUACAAAAAAAAAAAAAAACUCUGACAUGUGACUGUUCCCAUUCGCCUUAUACUUUCAGCCCCUCUGGUCAUGUUAUUAUUGGGGAUCUAAACAUUAUUCAACAUGAAAAUCUCCGAAAGGUGAUUUCUCAUGAUCCUAAGUCUAUAGAACCCCGAGACAUCAAUUGGAACUAUCACUUCAAAAUAAUUAUGGAUUCCAUUGAGGACUACUCCAGAGCAUGGACUGAACGAGAAGAAGUUGAACUGAACAUUUUAUCAGAACGGGUCAAAACUGUCAGAUUUCUGAUUAAACGUCGCAUGUUUAAGUUGAAACAUUUGUGUGAACGAUCGACCAAAGUCCGUUUUCAGAGAAAAAGAGGCAUUGAAAUGUCUAUCAUUUCUUCAUGAUGAGUAUGAUGUUGUUCAUCCGGACAAAUCGUCAAAUAAUAUUGUCUUUGUAUGUUAAUCGUAUUACUACGAAUGUCUUGUGUUUCUUUGGUACAUAUGACGUGGCUCUGUACUAUUAAAGAUCCCGUCAUUGUUACUUUUCUAUUAUAAUGCCAUCAUGUUAUUGUCCUAUUAUAUUUUUAAAAAUACUUUGAACGACAAAAUUAUUUUACUCUCGUAGUGUUAUUAACCAUAUGUGGAUUCUUAAAAUUUCUAUCUGGAUAAUUUUAAAUCUCGGUCUUUUUCUGAAAUUUGUUCUUACAAAACUUUACAUUUUUAACCCUGUAUGCCACCAUUGCUAAUGUGAAAUUUAUUUUUUUAAAAUACUUGGAACGACAAAAAUAUUUUAUAUUUCUUCCUGUGUGACUUUUACAUUUUCUGGCGUCAAACACGCGAAGCAAUGAAUGUGGUUGUUAAAUUUGAUAGAUGUUUUUUGUACUUCUGAAUAUUUGUUUGUUUUGAGAUUGUGAUUGUGAGAAGUGUAGCGCUUACGCCAAAAAAACAGGUUCUUUACACCAUUUUCUACAUUUGAAAAUGCCUGUACAAAGUCUAGAAUAUGGUAGUUGUCCAUUCGUUUGGUAUGUUUUAUCAUUUGACUUUGCAAUUUGAUUAGGGACUUUCUGUUUUGAAUUUUCCUCCGUGUUCAGUAUUUUUGUGAUUUUACUUUUUACAAUGUUAUUUAUUCAUAUGAAUAUAAUGUAAAGUACGAGAAUACAACAGUUUACUGUCAACCAGACAAUCAUUUUUGUGUGUUAGAUUUUAUUCGUAACCAUUGAACAAUAUGAAAAGAAAACACUCUGAGAAUAGCUGAUUUAUCAAUAACAAAUCAAAAGCACAUAAAAUAGUUUGUUUAACCUGUGUUUGCACGAGGCUGGUCUCUAGUGGAUAACGAAAAAAGUAUCUAUAAGUGCCCAUGCUUAUGGUUCAUUUAUUCUUUUUUAAGCAUAACAAAAAGCAAAUAAAAUAUUGCAACAUGUAUAAUAUAUCUUAAAAAUGAUAAUAUUUGUUGUCAUGUCCUGCAGCCCAAUAAUACAAGCUUAUCAAAAUAAGCAUAUGAGUACCGUUACUUAUAAUUUCAUACUUAUACAUCAUUUGGUCUCUCAUCUCAUAGACAAUUAUACCACAUUAUUUUGUAUUUCUAUAUGGGAUAACAAUUUGAUUUUAUCGAAAAUGAACCAUCAAAACGAUUAGAUUGCUGCAUUUGAUUGUUUUACAUUAACAUAAGACAUUCACAAAGUCCAUACUUCUCAAUUUCUCAAUUUUUACGACCAGUUUGUAAUUAAUGGUUAAACUAAUGAUGUUUUUGUGGUACAUAAGAUUUUUUUUAUCCGUAUGCUUAUCAGCAAAUGAACUUGAACACAAGCUCCUCCUUAAAGACCAUACUUUCUUUUUCAGAAUAAUGUCAGUUGAAAGCAACAUUUAACAAACCACAUGCAUUGAGCUCACUUUACACUUGUCUCAUCGGCACAUGCAAAAUAAAUCAUUAGUACAUGCAAUAUAAAUUAUCAACAUUAGCUAAAACGAUUUGCAUGAUAGAUUCCUUUGAAUGAAACUAUUAAGCCAAUUCGUUUAAAUGAUUAAGCAAGGCAGAGAGAAUUAAAGUCGUGUUUAUUUUGUGUCAUAGCUAUAUUAUUCAAUAAGUUCUAAAUGCUUUUAAUGUAUUUUACACACGAUAGGUUGUAGUGACUUAACACUGAAACAGAUUUGAUAACAUUUAAAUGAUCAUGCUCGUAUCUGCUGUUCAAUUGAUUCGUGCGUAAACUGUGUGACAGCUGUGGUCAUCAGCAGGUAAUACAUACUUUGAUUUUAUCAGAUAGUUUGAGAUCACAGUCUUCAUAUUCAAUAAUUAAUUUUGAAAUGGUACACAAAUAUUCUAUGUAAAGUUAUACAUUUGGUGUAAAGGAUGUUGAUCUCAUCAUUAAUCAGUGUCAUUGCCUGUUUGAUGCGAUCGUUUUGUUAUCUUUUUUGUUUAUGAAAUAAAAAUGGGAGAACUUUCUUUAUUUUGAAUGAAUAUGAAGCAUAUUAUUCGUAUAUUUUUUUUCAUAUUUCCAUACCUUAUAUGAUUUAUUAUUGCCUGUACACGUGCUCUUGUGUCAUAAGUUAUUCAUAUUAUUUGAACCACGUGACUUUGGCCCUUAAAUCAAAAUUGCAGAUAAAAAGAAAAUAUUUAAGAACAACUUAAGAAAUCAUGUAAGAUCAAAGUUGUUUCACAUGCAAUUCAACCUAAAAGGUAUUUCCCUAUGUGCCAAAAAAAUGAACCAAGAACUAAUUCGGGAUAUGUACAUACAUCCCUUUUAUCAAAUUGUUCAUGCAUUUCGAAGGUCACUACUAAAAUGGCAGCAAACGGAUAAUUUUGAUUCUCUCAGUCAAUAUGGAUUGCCAAAUAAAUACCUAUGCAUUUAUUUUUUAGUAAAAGCAAUAACACUUUUAAAACUAUGAUUCCCAUAUGUUUAUUUUUCCCCGUGUUUAUAAGGUUCAUUUUAUAUGGCAAUUGGAAACCAAUCUUUACUUUAAAAAAUCAUAAAAUACCUUAUUUUAUCUCUUUAAAACGAGAGUCAAAUUUGCAAGAUUUAUUUCUCAAAUAGACAUGUUCAUCAAAAUUUGUUAGUUUUGAUAAAAAAAAAAAAAAAACACGAAUGAGAUUUACCAAUAUCGUCACCCUCCGGUAAACAAAGAAACAGACAAGGAGCCUUCCCUUAUAUAUAUAUAUAUAUAUAUUAUAUAUAUGAAUAUUGAGUAUAUAUAUAUAUAUAUAUAUAUGAAUAUUGAGUCAUAUGGGCAAUCUUAACUUAUUAUACAAUGUUGACAAACGGACGGACAAAAUGUUGAUAUAGGGCACCACGGACUACUCGUCUUUAUCUUAACUAAAAACUGAUACCGUUGAAAUAUCAUAUGCAAACUAUGUAAAAUCAACUAUUGGAUGAUAUAUGAUCACCUGAUUGAACUGAUCAACCUCCGUAAAUGAUAAAAAAGACGAGUUUCACAUGUGGAACAGGAUCAACUUAGCCGUCUAGAGCACCGAGAUUGCAUUGCUCGGUAUUUCUGUAUUUUGUAAACUAUUGUUGGUUUUGUUUUAUCGUUCCUAGUUUUUUGCUCUGACAUCGUCAGUUUGUGUUUGAGUAAUAAUAUCAGAUUAUUACAUGGCAUUUUUCAUAUCGCAUGUAUUAUCAGCCCUAGGUUCAAUAUCAGCCCAAGAGCGCAUGGUCGAGGGCUGAUAAUAAUGCGAUAUGAAAAAUGACAUGUUAUGAUCUUUUUAUCAUAUGCUUCAACAGUAGAAGAAAAUAAAAGAUUCAUAUAUUAUCCUUCUAACGUGGUUCCGAAAGAAGUGAAAGAGUAAAAGUUACGGACGUCGGACCCAAAAUUUGAUACAUUCAAUAUGAAAUCUUUCGUCAAUAUGCUCAACAGAGAAAAAAAACCAGAUUUUAAUAUAAACGAAUCGACAAAAAAAUAGUUCAACAAUAUACAUAAUGAACAUUGUUUGGAAAAGUCAAAUUUUCUAAAGUAACUUUCUAAAUUAUGUUUCAGAAAAACUUAAAAAAUGCAUUUAUUUAAUAUUUUUUUUUAAAUAAAAUUUAAUUAUUUUACACAAUAUACUUUCCAGUAUUCAAAUAAUUGUUUUGUACACUACUUUGUAAUGUUUUUCAUUGAAAACGUAGCAUUGAGGUGUAUUUUCCGGAAUUUGCCGAGUAUCACGGAAUGCAUGUGAUAAGUUACGGAAAGGCAUGUGAUACAAUCGAAGCAUGUGAUAAACUUUUCAUAUAGCGCUAAGCCAAUUCGAAAAAUGGAAAAUACUUUAAUUUAAUCUAUUAUCAUCCAACGGUAAAAAUCAUAUGUUAUUUAGUCUAAGUAUAUGAUAAUUUCGAAUAUCCCUUUGUUGUUUUUUGCCUUGUAUAAGGGUGAGUGUUUCAAUAAAACUUCAUUAUAUAAACAAUAUACAACGAGAACAAACGUUUCAGAACCUAGAUGAAUAAAAAGUUAUGGAGCAUCAUAAACAUUGGGUCCUUACAAAAAUUUACCAAAGAUACCAGGAUGAAAGUGUUUACGCCAAACUUCAAUAAAUUAAAUAAUAUAUCAAAACUGGUUUUAUUUGUCGAAUAGCCAAUUAACAUUCUUUUUAUAUUUUGUAUAAUGAAUUUUAAAAUGUCUUUUGGUAUUUUAAAUACAUAAAUGUACUAUAAUUAUUCUUAUUACAGUAUUGCAGAAGAUUUUUUUCUCAGUUGUGAUUUUUCCUACAACCGAAAUUUCGUUACGUUGGGUCAUAUUUCUUAAUUAAUAAGUAUGACACUUAGACACUCAAAUUUUCAAUAACAGUCGAUUUAGAAAAAAAUGGUCAUCAUAUUUUGUCCUCCCAAAAUGAAUUAAGGACAUUAUAAUUUAACAAGAAGGUACAUAGCUUGCUUACAUGUAUAACUAAUCUUGAUAAUAUAAAAUAGUCAUUUGGUUUCACAUUCAGUCAAUACAAAAGUUUACAAUAUGUCCUUAAAACACUUUGCAGAAGAGCAAAUUAUUUAUACGAUAUAGAUAUAUUGAACAACGUUUUUACAAGUAUUGCAAAUACUUAAUGUCUUUUGACGUAAUGUGCAUCUGGCGAACACAAUUUCAAUCGUUGUAUUUGUGAUGAUAUUAUAAACCGCCACUUUGUCGAUGAUUCUGUAGAGGUUUACCUGUUUGAUGAUAUUACCAUUUGAGAAGUCAGCACUGUGUUAACAUGUAUUUUCAUUGAUAUGGUAAUUAUUAUAUAUGAACAGUUUACAAAACUUUUUUUUUCGAAACGCUUCGGAUUUUCUACACCAGAAAUAGAUAACUUAAGCAGUAUGCUGCAAAACUUUUCGGAAAUUCGGGUCAUCGAUGCACUUCAACUUCGUACUAUAUCAGGCCUGUUUUUCUUUUAAUUCGAGAGUCACUGAUGAAUUUUAAAAACAAAACGCACGUCUGGUGUAUACUAAUACAAUUCUGGUAUAUUUGAUGAGUUUAUUUACAACAAUGGGUCGAUGUCACUGCUGGUGGAGGUUUGACACCGAGUGUAUCACUAGUUCAAUAGUUUGCACAUCUGUGUUGACACGAAUCAUCACUGAUAUGGCCAUAAUUAUAUAUUAACUCUCUUUGUACAAAAGCUUGGCAAUAUUUUUUGUUUCUCAGCGCUCUUCAGUUUCGUACUUUAUUUGACCUUUUAAUCUUUUUUAUAUUCAAAUGUCACUGGUAAGUCUUUGUAGAAGAAAUACGUGUCUUCGGUUAAAUGAUUUAUCCCGGUAUCUAUAUGAUCAGUGUAUCAACAACCACUAGGUAUAUACUACUUCGUGUGGCUGUUACCUUCCCAAUAGUAACAGCCAAGUAGUAAGUGUUGGUAUGAAUUAUGAUUGAUAUUGUCAUUAUAUCUCUAACUGUUUAAGAAUAUAGUAUUGUUCAAGAUACAAUAACUUUCUAACCGAGGAAUAAUAUUGCCGUAGUUGUGUUUGGCAAAACCUCUAGGAAUUUUGGACCAAUAAAUACUUCAUUUUUGUUUUUUAACCUUUUCAAUUGAGCGUCACGAAUAAGUCAAUUUCGGACGAAAAGUGAGUUUUGAGUCAAUCAAAUAUUGAAAAUCCGAAUCGAGAAACAUUUUUCUUAUGUGGAGUCGUCGUAAUUUCUAAUAUGAAAUUGCAAAUACUCAGAUAAUCCACGAGGAAAAUACAUUUUUUGGAUUUAUUUUUAUAUUCAUAGGUUCAGUCCGAAAUUAAAUCCAGUUUUACGUAUUAACAUUAUUCAAUAGAGAGUUAAAUUGAUUAUUAUCCACCUUUCAAUGUAGUUCUAUAGCAGAAAAAGGUUUACAAGCACUAGUUAAACGACCAACAUAGUAUAUUUUUUAAUGGACAUAUAAACUGUUAACCCAUCAUUCGAAUAUAACAUAAAUUAAGUCUUGAAAACUUGCUCAUUAUCAAAGUAAGAGCAAACGUGUAUGUCCUAGUAAACAAUGUACUGGUAAAUUCUCUUUUGUAAAUGAAUAAUCAAAUGUUAUUUAUUUUAUCAUAGAUUCCAUAAUUAUUUUAAUGUAGUUGCGAUAUUUUUUUACUUAACGUUUUGUGUUAUUUGAGUAUACUUAACGUUUCGUGUUAUUUGAGUAUGCAAUUUUAUCCUACUGCUUACUGUCAAAACAUUUUUUUCAGACAUCUUCCGAAAUUUUCAACCAUAUGUGUAUAAGAUAAAAGUUAUAUGACAUCUAUUAUUUGCUCCAUUUGUUGUUUGACAGUUUUUCUGAACUUACCCUUUUUGAGUUAGCCUUUGGUUUCGGUAAAGUUAUCAUACUUUUUUAUAUGUGAAGAAUGAAAUAAAUCAUAUUGUAUAGACCGACCCUAAAUUCAUUCACAUUGUUGUCAUCGACAUAGCAUCUUCAAUUUUUAUAUUACUAAAUGAAUACCCGAUGUUUAUUUACAUACACGUAGACUGUAUAAUGGUGUUUAAAUCCUUAACACUAUCUUACAUACAAUUUUGUACAUUGUUUUAACACUCUUUAUAACAGAUGUAAUUUAAUAAUAUGCUUAGAUUGAAGAAAGUAUUAAGAAUUGUGCUUAGAGUCAUGUUUAAUUUAUGAAUUGUUAUGUCCUAAGUAAAGGAAACAGUAAUAUACCGCUGUUCGAAAUUCAUCAGUCGAUUGAGGAAAAACAAAUCUGGGUAACAAACUAAAACUAAGGGAAACACAUCAAAUUUAAGAGGAGAAAUAAUACACAACAGAAACACUAAAAUGCAACACACACAGAAACGAACUAUAAAAUAACAAUAGCCAUUUGCCUGACUUGGCCAGGACAUUUUAAGAAAAAUGGUGGGUUGAACCUGGUUUUGUAGGUAGCCAAACCUCCCACUUUAAUGACAAUGUUAAAUUUAACACUUACAAGACAGCAUUACAUGACAAGACUACAAUACAAGUAAAUGGAAGACAAAACAUGCAAUAUUACGACAAGGUUAUAGUUAUUAAAGGUACAUGACUUAUCAUGUAAUAAAAACUUUCAAUUCUUAAACACUUUUUAAAGUGUUAAUAUUCAAGACAUGUGUACAUUUAAUGAUUUCACUUAGAAAAGAGUUUAGAUAAUAUUAUAACUCUAAAUACUAAAGGCUUUUCAAAUAGAUGAUUGCUUGACAUAUUGAUUGUUAUUGGUUCUCCUUUAUCUGACCUAAUCAAAAACUUAACUUUAAGUAAUCCAACACUUUCGGAGUCAAUGAAGCAUUAUUCAGGUGUUGAGGCCGAAUAAUCUCCAAACUAAAAGUAUUAGAAAAGAAAAAUGAUUCUUAGUUCAUAACUACAAAAUUAUGUUCUUACAUUCUACAUGUUAGCCUAUCGAAUGCAGUUCUUAGCCUUUUUGAUCUUCAUGUAUAAUUUUAUUAAAUUGCAAUAACAUUACACCUAUUAAAGAAGUUCAAAAGAUGUGUACAAAAUUCCAGUAUGGAGAAGUUUUGUCUUGCUUGUAUGACAUAAUGGAGGCGUGCUGUUAUCGUUGUCGUCAGCGGUGUCACCACUUUUUUUUUUUUUAAAUAAUUGAUAAGGUAAGUUUUUUUUCUAAAAGGAAGAUACAUGAGUCAAUGGAUAGUUGGUUUGAAUUUGUAUUAUCAUUGGCAUAUUCGUUUGGAGAUUAUUCGGCCUCAACACCUAAAUAAUGCUUCAUUGACUCCGAAAGUGUUGGAUUACUUAAAGUUAAGGUUUUGAUUAGGUCAGAUAAAGGAGAACCAAUAACAAUCAAUAUGUCAAUAAUAUGUGUCAUGCAGUUGUAAAUGUAAUAGCAUUAUCAUAUUUCAUUUCACAGAGAUUAUUGGUCCCUUUAACUUCAGCCAUGAAUGUUUUGCAUAAUAAAUGCAUGAAAAAAGUAUUUUCGUUGUAAUAGCAAAAAUUGAAUAUAACUAUAAAAAAUAAUAUAUUGAUAUAACAGAUGAAAUGAACGUAUAUCUGUGUGAACACUUUAUUAACCUAGAAUGACAUAUUGAUUUAAAACCCAAACUUGAUCAAUAUUGCACUCCUUUAUAAAUAUAUAAUUGGCUUAUAAAAUAUGUACAUCAUAUAAGUCAAUUUAAGUUAUUUUUUUUUGCCUGUACCGUCGAAUCUGUCGUACAUAAUUGUCGAUGUUCCUACUUCAUUUGCAGUGUGCAAUAUUAUCGUAUUUUAAAAUAUAUAUAUAUACAUAUAUAUAAAAAUAUUUAUAUAUUUCGCAUUGAAAUUCUUUUUCUUAAUGAAAGCAUUUCACUAUUUUAUUAGAAAAAAAGUCGCUCUCAUAUAAGACAUUCGUAUUCCACGUGAUAAUGGGGUAGCAUGGAAUCGAAUAAGUUAAAUAUCCAUAUGCAUUCCAACGACUCUUUUACAUACUAUUAAAGUAUUUAGACACCUCAAAAUUAUAGAUCCUACAAAUAUAGUUUAUUUAGUGCAAAUGCAUAUUAAUUCGUAUACAUACUACAUACUAUUAAUUUUCAAAAUACAUGGAAAAUUGAAUCUUUACGUUUAACUUGUUAACUACGUCUGUGUUGUCAAAGGAUUGAACUUUUCGAUUAAGUUUUAUUUAUUCCUUCAAAGGGCUAAAUUCGUCUGAGAUUUCCCAACACUACAUCUCAUUUCCAAAAAAAAAUAUCGCUAAGUCAUAUUAACGGAUUUCUCGAUUCUCACUUUACACUGACCGGGAGUACAAAAUUUUAAUCCUGGUAUCGAUGAGUUUAUUUGAAAAGGUCUUUUUAGGUCUUAUCAAAACGUCGUAAGUCACUGAAUGUUAGAAACGACCAUGCCUUUUUCGGUUAGAAGUAUGUGUUCAUACAUUUUAAGUUCACAAGAAAGUGACUUAUAAUACGCCCGUUUCAUGAUUUCAAUUCAGUUUUGAUUUUAAUUGACAAGUGUAUACACACUAAGACAAGUUGUAUCAUGCGAUUUUACAUUAUUAUUUUCAGCUGCUCACUUGUUUCCUUGAAUAUUGGUCGCUACAUGUUCUCAUUUUAUUUACAAUUUUCAAUGAAACGUAAUGAAUAUACAAGAAAGAUAAGUGAUGUUUCAUUUGUCAAUUCAAUUUUGUCAUAAACGAUGAAAAAAAUGUCAGACAAUAUUUUCAAAAGAAUGUAUUAAAAUUCCCACACUUUUUAGUGCAUGGGUCUUCUUUUGUUGGUGAAGAACAGCGUCCGUCCGUAUACAUAUCAUUGUCAAAAUGCAGUCAACACAAGUGAUUACAGGGCUAAACAGUAGAAGUGAAUAACGAACACAACUAAUUCAAAACCCGAUAUAGAAAAACAUCAAUGAAGCAGUGCAUCCUGUUACACAGAGUCUUUCAGUUUAUAUGUUCAUUAUAAGAUUAAAAGUUGAUGUUUGUGACAUAAUAUCUGAGUUGAAGAUAAUGUUCUGUAAUUACUAGAUUGUAUCUGUCCUCCGAUUUUCAAAGGAAUUAAAUACAAUUCCCUGUUGGUUUAAUACUGUAAACUUAUGCUGACAGGCAAAUCUAAAUAAACAAAUGAUGGGAUAGUAAUUGUUUAUAGUCAUAUAAGCUGAAAUAAAAUCUUGACAUCGAAGGUGUUGACGACCUUUGAGCAAAAUUUACUAGAAUGGAUUUGAAGUUUGUUUCUUGAUUAACUUUAAACCUGAUUUUUUUUAGAAGAACACACGAAUGCUGAAUACAUGAUAUAUAUACAAAAUUAAGUAAUUAAUACUUGUCUGUCGUUUCUGCUUAUGAGCUAGAGCUAUGUCAAUAUGCCUUUUUGUUUUUCUUUGUUGACAUAUUUGAUUGUGUUUUUAGUGAUUAAGAUUAUAACGCAAUAGUGACACUUAUUUGUAACAUUUUAUUUAUCAUGUCUGUUUGUUUUGUUCCCACAUCAUUGUCAAUAUAGAUGAGUUUGUUUUAUGCUUCUGUUAAACAAGUCUGAGGUUAAUCUAGCUAUAAAACGAAGUUUAAUCAAACAUUAACUACACACGAAAUGCCUGUACCAAGUUUAAGUCAGGUAUACUUCCGUUAUUAUACAUUCGUUUGAUGUGUUUGCGCUUUGAAUUGUACCAUUUGUAUAGGGACUUUCCGUUUUGAAUUUCCUCGGAGUUCGAUGAUUUGGUAUUUUCCUUUCUUUCUAUCCGAAGCUCGAGAGUUUACGUAGUCGACAAUAUGUUAUUUAUAUAUAUGUUAAAUCGACAAUAAAAUGUGUUAAGUUUUGCAUGAUUAGUAUUUCAUGUAGUAAUGGGUACUUAUAUUAUAUGUUCUUUUGUCUGUAUGGCUUUAUAGUUGAUAUUGUGUUAUGCUGGAACGCUAGACAACUCGGCCCGGAGACAAGUUGGACCGAGUCCACCCGGACCAUCUAAGAAGACAACUCGGAUCGUAUAAGAAGACAACUUGGGUCGACAAUAAGUUAUGCUUAGUGCUCAAAUCACAUGUAUCUUAUGUGAAUGACUUACUUGUCCUGUUUGUGUACCUCUUAGUUUUACUUAGUGCUCAAAUCAUAUGUAUCUUAUAUGAAAGAUCUAGACUUGCUUGUAUUUAUUUUGUGUACCUGUUAUGUUUUACUUAGUGCUUCAUCAGGCACAUACUUUUCCCCUUUAAAUCAUUUACUUUGUCAAAAGUUUAAUGCUAUACUUAGUCUGCGAUGUUCUUAUUGACGAUCCCAGUUGUCUUAUUGACGGUCGAAGUUUUCUUAUUGACGGUCCAAAUUUUACUUCUUUCACGAUCCAAGUUGUCUCCGGGCCGACCUGUCUUGCACCCUUAUGCGUAGUAGUUUGAGUUUUGAAUUCUGUAUUUCGGUACAUUUAUUACUAGUAUAUGUCUUAUUUGUCUGUUAAGUCGCCUUAAUUUCCAUUUUUUAUGGAUAGAUAUUAUGGUAGUUCAAAAAUAUUAAUUUCAGGAUUACUUUUGAUAAUAGAUACGUCAGAAAAAACGUCCCUUUUGGUGGCCUUAAUCCAUUCAUGUGACUCGCAGUGUGUGGUGUCCUGUGCUAUAAUUAAUUUAUUGUAGAUGUCCGUUGAUAAUCUGCGGAUUACAUGUUGUAAUGUACUAUUAUAUUAUUUAUUUAUGCUUGUAUCCGUGCUGCGUGUUCUAUGUUCAACAGCAUUCGUAAAGGUAGGGUUGUCAUUUAAGCGACAUUUUGUAGCAUUGCCAUAUUAACAGGAGGUUUUACUAGCCAUUGUUAAAUCCACAAUUAUUUUUUAGAAUGUUCUGUGUGAAGUCAAGAAUAUAACAGUUAUUAUAAGAUAGUUUAUAUGUAUGUUGGCGUUUGCUUUUGUUGUAGGUCAGUGUUUCUGUAGUUCCGAUGUUCUUAUAGUUGACGUGUUUUUCUUGGUUAUAGUUUGUAACCCCGAUUAGUUUUCACUGACAGCUACUUUUGCAUAGGUACUAUUUCUGUACCCAAAAUCUGUAGUACUAGAAUUCAACUUUUUUAUAUUUAGUACUAUUUUGUUACUUUAAAAGUGUUGUAAUAUUUAGGUACCUGUAUUUUACAGUACUUGAUUUAUACUUGAAAUUUAAGAACUACAAACAUUUGGUUACAUCGUGAGAUAUUCAGCAUUUUGAAAGUUUGUCUAUUUCAAAUCUUUCUUUAAACAUGGAAUAUUGUGAUCACUAUUGGUAUUAUUUCUGUACCAAAAAUAUGUUGUACAAAUCAAGUACUGUAAAAUACAGGUACCUAAAUAUUACAAUAUAUUUAAAGUAAUAAAAUAGCACUAAAUAUUAAAAGUAAAUUUUCAGAACUAAAUAUUUUAGUGCAGGAAUAGUACCUAUGCAAAAGUAGCUGUGUAUAUAGUGUAAUUUCAUGAAAUUCAAAUAAUUAAUUCUUUGGUCUUGGCAUCGCUUUAAUAACAAUGUCAGUUUCUUGAAAUUAAGCUUUACAAUCUUUCGUAAUCAUAUAAAUAUUGCACAUGGUAUUCAUAUCUACAUAUUUCAUUAAGAUAAGUAUAAUCCCCCGAUCAAAUCGUUUCACUCAAUAAGUACACUGAUCUCAUCUUGUCAAUCGUCUAGAAAUAUUACAAUCUUUUAAAGUCAUUUGAUAGGAUAAUGCAUUUUCUGUAACCUUUCUGUUAUGUUCUAUAUACCAUGAGUGUGUUUAAAUAUGUUAAUGACAGCUUGAAAUAAUACUAUAAAUUGAUCACGUGACCUCUUCUUUUAUCCAAUGAGAUCAAAGCUCACUCAAGUCAAUUUUGCGCUCUGUAUUUAUGAUCGUAUAAUGCUUGAAAGAUAUUACAAGUACUAGCGGACUUGUUAAUUUAAACAACUGCAUUUUUUUUCUGAUUUUUUUCUUUGUUUAUUCAGAACUAAAAGAAGAAACUUUUAGUAUUUUUGUAAAACUGAAGGGAACCUAAAAUUCCCAAUUAACUUUUGAAAAAAGGUUUCUUGAAAUGUAGUAAAAUAGAUUUAUUGCUUUUUGUCAUAAAAUGGAUAAAAAUGUUCAUAACCUUUUACGUUUUUUUUUUUUUUCAGUUUUCUAAAUAUUUCAGAGGCAACCAUCUUUUAAAAAUGGGAUGGAGCUUCAGGCUUAGAAUAACAUGAAAAUGAAUAUGUUGUACCAUAGCUAACCUGCGCCUUUUUUCCUUUGGAUUCUAUUGAAAGAGUAAAAUCACCCUUUUAAGAUGUUACAGUUACACAUUUAAACAUAACAAAUUUUUACUUACCAAUGCAAUGGUUUAGUUAAAUGUCAUUUAUGUGACCAGUAAAGUAAGCUGUAGUAACCCUUGGCAUUUGUGUACGGCCAAACUGAUUUUUAUUGUAAACAUAUAGAUACCAAAAUGUGUUUUAAAUACAUGCAGCCACUUAUAAGCACUUCAUAUAUACGUGUGUCCGAAGCGUUUUUCUUGGUUUAGAAUCACCAGCAACGAUAAAACAAAUAGACCAUCAUACCACAUCUUCUUUUUAUAUAAACAAAAAAUGCCAGGGAUAAAUAAGAAAACGUACAAAUGUUAGAAUAUAUAUAACGAAAAGAAAUCAUGAAGAAUAUCAAUGUCCUUCAGAUGGCAGUUUUCUCUAAGGGAUUUGGAACUUUAGAUUCUAAAUAAUUUCUAAAUCAUAAUUAGUUGACUGGGAUUAUUUUUAAUGAAUGAUACAAAGGCAGGUCAAUGCCGACUUCUGUGUCAUCAGUCCACUAACAUUGAAUAUGCCUAACCCUAAAGAUUAGCUCGUUAUGAAAGUAAAAAUACGUAGAAAGAUUAUAAAUUAUAUAAACAGAAGACACAAUACCACAAACGUUAAUACAAGCAAAACAUCCCUAAAACAUAACGGCCUGCGUAUAAUUAGUUCUGAAAUGUCACAAAAGAAAGGAAUACAUAAAACCUAUACAAACAGAUAAGUAUGUUCACCUUCAACGCCUACGUUUGUGCUGAAAUGAGAAUAUAUGGACUUGCUGUCAGGAAUACAUAUUCAUUGUUGCAUAGUAUAACGAAGAAACGAUACGUUUUACGGGGAAAAAUGUUACAUCGAUACAUCGUAGAAUUUCAAUUAAAAAAGUGUCCUAGUUAUAAUGACUUUAAAGUCGAAUAAAUAACAUUGUAGUUCCUUUGUAGUGGAGUAAAGAAGGUCAAUUAUCGAAAUGAAUUUUCAAAGUGGUAUAAUCAGUGAAGGGCAGUGGGGUUUCUGUAUUACAGUACAAUAGUUUAAUAGAUUAUAUACCAAUAGCAUUUCCGGUCAUUUUAAUAUACACAGUGGAUAUUGCUAUCAAAAUAACAGCUAGUUUGUAGAAAUUUAUUAACACAAUACUAGAUCAAUUCCAAUUAAUAAAAAACAUCAUCGUUUACAAUUUUACAAAAAUACCCAAUACGGUCAUUACCUUUCACUUAACAUAAAUUUGACAGUACAUAAGGACUAGAAUAGUUUUCAUUAAUGUAUAGCCUGUACAUAUUCAAUACGUAAUGGAAUCCCAAAAGAGGUAUCCAAAUACAAUAAUUUGAAGAGCGAAAAUCGAAUUACAUGACCAUAAAACAGAAUGUAAGAUACAAUGUAGAACAAUCAUCUCUCUCUUUUACACAAAAAUACAGAUACUAGUAACAAGUACCCAGUUGAAACCGAGGUGCUCAUCAAGGAUUACCGCCAAAAGUGACUUUUCUUUUGAUUUUUAUUACAAUCAUACAAUCUGUUGACAAGUUUUGUUCACACAUAGUUGUCAAUAUAAAGGAAUUUUAUGAUUUAUAAAUCAACCAUUUCCUACAUAGUAAAAUGCCUGUACCAAUAGUUAUCAAAGGUACCAGGGUUAUAAUUUAGUACGCCAGAGUCGCGUUUCGUCUACAUAAGACUCAUUAGUGACGCUGUACCAAGUCAGGAUAUAUAAAAAAAAGAAAGUGUAUGAUUCCAAUGAGACAACUAUCCACAAAAGACCAAAAUGACACAGACAUUAACAACUAUAGGUCACCAUACGGCCUUCAACAAUAAGCAACGCCCAUUACCGCAUAGUCAGCUUAAAAGGCCCGAUAAGACAUGUAAAACAAUUCAACGAGAAAACUAACGGCCUUAUUUAUGUAAAAAAAAUGACGAAAAACAAAUAAUAACACAUAAACAAACGACAACCACUGAAUUACAGGCCUGAUUGGGACAGGCACAUACAUAAUAAUAAUGUGGCGGGUUAAACAUGUUAGCGGAUGCCAACCCUCCCUACCUUGGACGUGGUAUAACAGUAACAUAAAACGAACUAUAAAAUCAGUUGAAAAAGCUUAACUCAUCAGAUGGAUGACUGUUGUAAUUCAUUCGUUUGAUGUGGUUGAGAUUUUGCGUUUGCCUUUUGAUUAGUGACUUAUUUUUUUAAUUUUCUUCCAGGUUCUGAAUUUUUACAGAUUUUACUUUUCAUUAAUGUGAAGUAAAAAGGAGAAACAAAAUAAUGACUCCGUAAAAGUGAAAACGUGAUCAUCUCUUACACAAAAAAAAAUUAAAUCAUCAUGAUUUGUUAUCCAACAAUCGAAAAAGACUUCCAAUGUAGGUGUUGGUGACAUUUUGCUAUGUUAACAUUAUAAAAUACAUGUAGUUGAAUAGAAAUAUUUAAUAAUAUGCAAUUGAUACUAUUUCUCCCUCUUAUAUUCAAAAGUGCGUGCACAUUUUCAACAAUUAUCUCGAUACUCUUAUACACCGCUAUAUAAGAUUAUUUUACACAAUUGUAUCAAGAUAAUAAGUAUAAUUUUAGUUUUGAAUACAAGUUCAAGAAUUACGUAAGAUAUCGACUGUGCAAAUUUACUUUUUUGUCUUUUGUUUUUUAUCGAAUCCACGCAAAUUAUUCACAGGUGCAUACACUUAUAUGUGUUUAUUGUUGAUGCAAACAUUGAUUGCCUGGCUAAUUUUACGAAAUUUGAUUCCUUAAACUACCACAAUACAACAAUAAAAAUAGUCAUUUGGUAAACUGCUAAAAACAUUACACAUAUCGAGUUCUAUUGCAAAUAUAGCUAGUUACCGUGAUUCAUUUGAGGUGACUGUACAGACACUUAUCUGUCUAGCCUUAAGAGUGCACAACAUAUACGUUUAAGAUUGUGAAUUGUUUUCAAAAAUAGGUAAGAAACUUGUUUUUCUGUUUUUCAAUCAACACUAUAAACAGCGUCUCAUUUAAUUUAUAUUGUUAUUGUUUGAAUCUUGAUGCUCCAUUUGUUAUAAAUGAAACGAAUUUGAUUACUAGGAUUAAUUUCAGUUUCAGCAGAACAGUUUGUACUGUGGAAAUGGAUUAAUAUAAGUUGUAAUAACUUGUCUCCCAAUCCACUUUAAAUACAUAUCUUUUACUAAAUUAAACUCAACAGUUCGUAAAAGGUUUAGCUAGUUAAAAAAUCCAGGUUUAAUCACCCAUUCUCUGCAUAAGAAAAUGCCUGUACCAAGUCAGGAUUAUGACAGUUGUUAUCCAUUCGUUUGAUCUUUUUAUAUUGCCAUUUAAUUAGUGACUUUCCUCUUUUAAUAUUCCUCGGAGUCCAGUUUUUUUUAGGAAUGCUGAAAAAUGUAUUAACGAAAUGUAAGCAUUGUUUGAUUACAUGUGAACAUAGGAAAAGCGGAUUUUUUUGUUUGUAAGAACAGAUGAGAAAAUUUGCACAUAACUGACCACUGUUCAGUGAUUCAUUAUCUUAGGAUAAGGAGUUGCAUACUCCGCAUGGUUAAUAAAGAUCAAAAUUAUUUGAUUUUGUUACAGCUGUAUUCGUUAGAAAUGUGUUGUGGAUAAUUAAGUAGAGAUACACGCGUAUGGUCCAAAUACUCAUAUGGUCCGGAACAUAUACAUAAUUGGGGAAGCUUCGGUUGUAAUUGAACAAUACUGUGGAAAGUAUGAACAAUCCUGCUUCGUUUGUUAUAAAAUAAAUGCGCAAAAAAUGGAAAUGAAAAUCUCAUAUUUGUUUUAUCAAAAGGUACUUGAGGGCAAUAAAAAGUUUUAAGGUUAAAACAAAUUUGCAUGACAAAAAGGUUUCAGCGUCGGUUGGGAUUGUAUAAUAUGCGGGUUAUCUAAACAGUUGUGUGUUUAAAAAUAACAAGUGAUUGUUAUAUUUCAUUCAUUAAUUCGUUACAGUUGUGUAUGAAAAUAACCAAUAUUUAUUUAAUUUCAAGCAAAUUAUUAUUUUUCUUUAAUCAUAAAAUAGCGACAAUACCAGUGACUAAAGCUAUUCCUUAUAAUAUCAAUGAAUAUAUCAUAUUUAUUACAGCUUGUUCUUCACUAUCGACAAUUACUAAUAACAAUUUUCAUUAUUUUAUUAAACGAAUAGCCUUAACAAUUUUAUUGCUAACAGUGUGAAAUGUAAAAUACAUCGUGAUAUUGUUUUCUGUCUGAUUUAGAGGGCACUGUAUCUUUAACUGACAGUGUAAUAAAUUCUAAUUAAGUCGGGUUCCUAUUAAUUGAUUGAUCCUCCAAACAAACUUCCGCAUCCCAAGUUGUAUUUUGCAUUAGACUUUAUUAGUCAAUCCAUAAAGAUAAGAAAAAUAUACGCUACCACGCAACUGUUUUCACUUCAUUUAAUAUAUGUGCUCGAAUUAAGGAUGAAGUAGUCUUUAAAGGUUUGGAAGUUUAAUUGUUUUUGUUGGAUUACCAUUAAUAGCAUUAACCACCGUCGAGACAUCAGAUAAUUAAUAAGACUAUACUCAGAAUAUGUUAUUAUGUUUUCAAUCAAAUAUUUUUUUUUUUUUAUCUUAAGGAAAAGCUAUAUAUAAUGCAGUAUUCAAUUAUCUACCAGAUGCGAGUUUGUCAAUAAAAAAAGUUUGAAUUGUGUCUUUAUGUUUUUGAAUUUCGUACAACAUUACAUGGUCUGUAAAUAAAUAUUAUCAUGCUAAGAUCAUCAAACAGGACACCUUCAAAAAGUUGACUGUGAAGAUAACACUUUAAACAAAAUUCAUUGAUAUUCUUUUUAAUUCAUUAUGUAGAAUAGCUUGGGACAAUAUAAUUUAAAUCAAGAAAAAUUUGAGAAAUGGGUAGAAAAUAUUGAUACUUAUAAUUGUUAAGGGUUCAAACACUUUGUUCGAAAUAACCAGAAAUUCGACUUAAAAGUAUUCGAGAUUACGAGAAUCGACUCUAUGUUGAAGUUCAACUAAGAUUUUGUUCAAACAAUGUCAAUUCCAAUAUGCUCAAUUGUUAUUGCAUUUUUGUCACCCAAAAUAGUAUAAAUUUGUAAUGGUUGGAACCUUAGAAUAUGAAUAUGAAAUAUCCUCAUCGAUUUUCUACUUAUGUCCGAUACCUUGUUGUUGAAUACAUUUUUAUACAAAAUCAUUGUCUCUUAUCACAAUUAUGCUUUAUCUAAUUAACCAGUUUUCAUCCCAAGGUAUUUCGUUGCACUGAGUUAACAUUUAUGUUAUAACAAUUAAUUUUAAAAAUGUAAACUAUUUUCAAAAGAACUAUAAAAAUAUUUAUAAGUAUGAUUAUAUUAGAAAUAAGGAUUGGUGUAUGACAGAUCAUACUUUAACUUUUUGUUAUGGUAACAAACAAUUUGAAGCUUUCACAUUCAGACAAAUAAAACAAUAAAUUAAGUUACAGAGGAGAGCUUAUGAAUUCAGAUAAAAAUUGCACUAGUGAUUCAGAGAUUUGUGACAUCAUCUGAUGAAAAAAUCAAUUUAAUCGGCAUUCUUAAAGUAAACGAAAAACGUUUGGUAGAAAUCUUAUUCCACAAUCAAGUUCAAACCAUAAAAUAGAAAUACAUAAACCUGUGUAAAUAUAAAGACAACUUGACCAAGAUACAUGUAACAUAUAGAUUUAUUACAACCUUUGACUAUUCAAAAAUUACACUCGGGCUAAAAUAAAACAGUAAACAAAAGUGUGUCUCAUAUCUCAGUGAGAUCCGUGUAUCUAAAUUUGUUCAGGACAGAUUGUCUUGGAAAGUGCUGAUUGAGAUAAAUGAGUUUUUACUGAACGCAUUCCAUUGUCGGUGGUGUUAUUCCUAAAAUCAGUGGGUGCCAGAUCUGGUUUACGAAAAAACAUCUGAAGAACUAAAAAAAAACCUUGAUAAAUCAUACAAGAUCUAGAAAUGAUUAAUUUGCUACCAAGAUUCUACUCGUUUUUCACAAAAAUUAAUCAGAUUCUUACAACUGAGAAAGGUUAUUUUUAUGACAAAAAUUUAGCUCUUUGCACUUAAUUUAUCACUUGAAAUAAUGAAGUAUCAAACAACAUAUUCAUCAUUUUAAUGCAAUGUAAGAUGUUUACUAAUUUAUACUGGAUGUGAUCCAGAUUUAGCUGGCAUCGCUGUGAUAUGUUCAUUGCUAUCAACUUCCAAGUAGAAACUUAGUUUCUGUUUGUCGCAAAGUACUACGUAUUUAGGAACUAGCAUACAGUGCUCAUAUCAAAAUCAACAACAGAGCUAAAGACUGUACUGUAAUCGUAAACACGUCAUCGCAUAAACGUCCUUAAUAAUCGAAUAUUUAAACCAUAAAGUUAUUUCGACACCAAUGGAGAUAUAAAGGGGAAAAUACUUAUAUGUACAGUUGCUCCAUAAUGUUAAUCAAUAUUAAAAGUAUUGGAAGCAAGCAGACAUACACGUUAAUUACUGAAGAAAAUCACGUAUACUGCAGUUCUUUUUUAAUGUUUGUAUACUGCACUUGUAUUAAGAUGUUUGUAAACUGCACUUCUGUUUAGAUGUUUGUGUACAUGUAUAGAUAUCAUAAUAGUUUUGAAGAUAGAAAAUUUGGUAAAAAUAAAUAUAUUCUAAAAAGGAUAUUUUCAUUAUUACAAAUGUGUUAAAUGUUAAAAUCAGUACAUAGUGUAGUAUGCAAGAAAAGUCAAUCAAUGCGUGGACACAACAUUUUUUGCACUGCUUUAAAUAUUACAGUUUUUCCAUCUUUUGUCAUGUGCGAGACGACAAACAGAUAAACACUUACUAAUAGGCAUCGACAAUUAAUUUUUGUAGUGGUAAUAACUUAUGUUAGAACAAACACAUUUCUCUACUUUAAUACACACAAACUGCCUGUUUCAAUACAAUGUAUAAAGAAAUAUAUUUUGGGAACACAAAUGUGAUUGUUUUUUGUUUUCAUAAUUUGCAAUAGACACCAAUAGUUUUUCACUUUCCUCAUGAUUUUUUUAACUAUAAAUAUUUUUCAUUUUUAGUCUUUUAAUAAAUGUUCAUAUUUAUCGACUGCGGUAAAUUCAGUACUGCACUGACAAUUCAGUAUAAUGUUUAUCUGUACCGGUAGAUAAAAAAUACUGAACAAUCUAAACACACACACAAAACAAUCUUAAAUGACUGUAAGUGAAUUGUCUAAAAAGCACUUAAUUUACCGCAAUGGAUAAGCCUGCAAAUAAGCUCAUCAUAGAUACCAGGAUUCAAAUUUUGUGUUUGCGCCGGACGCGUGUUUCUUCUAAAACAAAAACAAUCAAAACCAAGGAGUAAACAAAGACUCACAAAACCAAAGGACAUUAACAUCAACAGUUAUAAAUAAUAAAUAAGAAACGACACGAACUCCACUAAAAACCGGGAGUGAAAUCAGGUGAUCCGGAAGGUGCUCUAUAAAGACACUAUAUACUGGCACUCCAUUAAAAAAAGCUAAAAAGACCAAAUAAAGAACGAAGUUAUAGAGCAUUGAGAUCCAAAAUUCCCUAAACAAUUUGCCAAAUACAGCUACGGUAAUCUAUUGUUGAGGAUGAAAAUUACUUAUCUAUAGCGCCCAGUUUAUCAGAGCUGUUGAGGUCAAAGUGAUCCUUUCAGACUAAAAUGUUUUUUACUAGUAUUGUACAACUUUUGAAAUAAGCCGAUGCAAUGAAAGUCAUAUUACUCAUAAUUAAACUACAUUUAUGAUUGUGAAACAAGUUUGUUAUUUGGCUUUACACGUACAGUGCAAUAGAUUUAACUCAAUGUAUUACUUAAACAAAUGAUGCAUUCUAUAUUUUACUGAUUAAUCCCCACAUGGACAUGGAUUUCUGUAAUGGGUGAAGAUUUAUAUAAUUGUGCCAAACACGUAUGCAAUUUACAUGUACAUGUAGUUGUUUUGCCACUUGUAAAUUACUAUGUGAAACCGUCACUCUAAUAUAUACAAAACUGUAGAAAGAUGUACAAUAUAAAUUGUUAUAUUUCGGGAUUGUUUUUUUUUUUUUUUUUUGUCAUUUUUGUUUGUUGACAUAUUUUGUCAUAUUUGUCACAUAUUUGUACUGAUUAAGACAAAUAGUAAGCCAACGAUAUUGUUGAAAGUUUUGAAGUGUUAAGGAUGGACGCGUUUGUCCAGAAAAAGUUUCAAAAUAUUGUGAAAGAAUAAUCAAACCUGUAUGUACGAAUAAUCGAUGAUGACCUUCUCAAUAUCUUUCGGCUAUAAAGCUAUUGUCACAUUUGCAGUCAGCAAUCUUAAAUUAGAAGUUAGAAUGUUAGCUUAUAAUUUUAAAAUUAUAACAAAACAAUAUUGAUAUCAAUCUUAAAAUGUAUAACGAGAACAAAAACGAUAGUAUUUAACUGUUUUUGUAGUUGUGUGGUAGAAAUAAAAAGAUAAAUUGCUGAAAUAGUAAAGUUUGCUUUUUGCCAAAAUGGUCAUUAUCAUCUGAACAUCAUCUGAACAAACAUUAAAUUUUAAUAAAAGCUUUAACAAAUUAACGUUAUAUUUCAAACAUAUUCGAUCCGUAAUGUCAUAAAAUUAAAGUAUAGUUUAGUAGAAUAAAAUGUGUAUGCGUAGAAUUUUGCAGUUUUCCUUAUUCAGUUGUGUCAUAACGGUAUUAGGGUGUUAAAAAAUUUGGCGAAGUGAGACAGUCCCCGCAGAUAACCUUUACACCACAUUUUUUUUUAAAUUCAUAUUAAUUUGAAAUAGGAGAAAAGAUUAUAGAUAGUUUAAGACAAUCAUGAUAAUGUACAAACUACAUUCAAACUAUAUCAAGGAAGCCACGAUAGUUAUUUAAGACAUGUUCUAUGAUGUUGAUGGUCAUAAACAGAAAUAAGAUAGUAAUUACGUUUAAGCUAGAUAGAAGUCUUUUAAGUCAGUGAAAGGAUAGUGUCCUCAAAAGAAAUAAAUAAACGUUUAUAUAAAAUGGAAAAUAUUAAUUAGAAUAAAACAUUACAAGUAAAUCGUGUUUGAAAUAUAUGAUAUCUCGUGAUAGUUUAAUGAAUAUUAUUUACUUGUAAAUAAAUGAUUGGAUAUUUGACCAGUAAGUAGUCAGGACCUCGGUUCUGACAAGUUAGGAACAAACACUGUUUUUUAAAUCAUACUUAAGUUUUAAAAAUUAAGAUGUUAUUAAGAAACUUUCUCCGGCAAAGUUAUAUAAGUUGGAUUCAUCUAUUGUUUUAGGUUCUUCCUGGUUCUGAUUCAUUUCCUACACUUUAUUGGUGUUCUAAUAUUCGACUUAGAGCGUUCAUGGUAAUAAUCAUAAUCUUUCUGAUUUCUUAAUAUCAAUUUUCGGAAAUAGAGAACGUAAUAAAAAAAAGUUACUUUUCCCAUGUUUAAUCCUGUUUGUUUUCAAUUUGAAAAAUAGGAAACAUAUUUAUGUAGAUAUAGUUGAUGUGUUUCCAUCGAUUUCGGUUUGUGACUCGGAUAUAUUUUCGCUUAAUCGAUUUAUGACUAUUGAAUAGAGGGCUAAUACUGUUGCCUUUAAUUACAUUUCAUGUAUGCAAAUUGUUAAUACAAAGAAUAAAAAAUACAAGGCACCAUUAAUUCUUCAAAGGUUCAACUUGGAUUUUAUAUCAAUAAGAUAAAUAAAAUUAAGAAUGAAAAUGGGGAAUGCGUCAAGGAGACACAACCCGACCAAAGAGUAUAAAUGAGUAUCAAUGAUACGUCGAAUAUUUUGUAGGGUUAAAUAUAUAAUAAAAAGAUGAUGUAGUAUACCUGUUGUUUAAUUAGAUCUGCGUAAACAAAGCUUUAAAGCCUCCUUUUAUGCUUGUUUUCAAAACAAGUUAAAGUUUUUUUUAUUGUUUAUCAAUGUUUAUCAAUUGAAGCAUACACAAUCUUUUGAUAUUUUUUUUGUAAAAGUUUAAAUAAUUAAGUACAGCACUUCAUCAAGUGUAAAUUGUUAAGUGUUUUAAUCAUUUAACCUCUAAUCGAUUAUUAUCUUUUCGGCAGUUAGUUUUUUUUAUCAGCUAUUUUAGUGUAAUAACACUGGAAUGAUGUAUAAAAUGUAAAUGUUUACGCUUUUUAAACUUUUGACAUGUUUCUAAUUUAAAGUUUGUGUAUACUUAAUGAUGGUAUAAAUAUUUUUAUUAGAAACAUCAAAGGAUAACAUUCAUUUUCUUGAAUGUUUUAUGUAUUUUUACAAAUGGUUCAAUGCAUUGUAUACAUCAUUGAUUUAUGAAAUUCAACUAACACUUUAUCUUUAAUGGAAUUUUGUCCGUUCGAGUAAAAAAAAUAUGCAGAUUUUUGUGAAAAUUCACCGAUAAGAAUUCAUUUUAAAGUCUGCAUAAGUGUGUUUGAAUUAUAUAUAUAUAUAUCAUGCGAGAAUGUUCCUCAUAAAUCAACGUAAUACGAUGACGAAAUAAUCAUAUCAUACGCAUUUCAUAUUACAUAUUUUUGGUCAUAAACUCUGUUAAUUGGAAAACAACCAAAAUUCUGUCAUUUGUAACCACUAUUUGAUGAUAUUUUGUGUAUGUGUAACUGCUUGCUGUUCGGUGUGAGCCAGAGUCCAUGUUAAAGGCCGGACCUUGACCUAUAAUGGUUAACUUCUAUAAAUUGUUACUUGGAUUGAGAGUUGUAUCAUUGGUACUCAUACCACAUCUUCCUAUAUCUGUAUACAAUAAAUAGUGUAUAAAAUAAUAAUUUUAAAUGAUAAGUCCUUUCCUCCUAGAAACUUAUCGAAUUAUUUUUUCUUAUGCUAACUACCUGAUAAAUUUCUUUAAUUGUUCAUUUGACACGAUAAAUAAAAGGUAACAUAUAAACGAUGUUGAGUCCUUAUCCUUAAGACCCUUAACUUUACAAAUACUUCAAGUCUGCUUACAAGAACGUUUUUGUGACCAAGGGUCUUUUCAUGUCGAAACUUGUGCAAUAUUUUAAUCAUGCCAUCCAUAUAUGACUUUCAAAGAGUACCUAUGUGACGGAUAAUCAAAGGAACUUCUCCAUUUGUUGAAGACAAAUCAAUUCAUAUGAUUCACCACGAUAUAGAAAUUGAACCAAGUUCUUGCGAAUGAACAAAACGUACAACCCACUUUUUUUUCUGUGUGCGGCUGUUAAGAUGUUGAGGAUGUAUAUAAACGUAGCCAUAUCAAGUUUGAUGCAUGACAUUAAAUACCUAUGUCUCGUAUCGGGACGAUGCAAGAUUUGAUUUCAUUGCAAUUGCUAGGGACCAUGUGUCGCUUAAAUUUUCAUCAUAAUAUUUUUUUACUUAAAACAAUGAUAAGUUGACGAUAAACAACUGAUUUAGGUUUUCAUUUUUUUUCUUUUUUAAUCAUUUUCUUAAAGGUAAAAACUAUAAGGAUUUUCAUAACAUAACUGCAUCAGUAAGCCACCUGUCAUCAAUCGAUAAAUAAAUCAACUAUUAAAAGAAAAUGUUUCAUAAUCGUUCAGGCUUACUAUUUUAUUGUAAGACAUAUUCCUCUGAAACGAUUUUUUUUUAUGUUCGUCAGGAAAAUUCUUAAAAUAACUUGCACAGGAGGUUCAGGUAAGCGACGUAUAUUUUGUUAAAUGUUUCUUGUUUAUGCCUAAGGUAUAUAAAAGUCAAAUUUAGGCUAGAGCCAUAAUAUGAAGCAUUGUCUUUUGGUCAUUUACAGCAACGAAGGCGUCAAAAUGAGUCAUAAAGGAUAAUCAACGGAAAUACAAUUGGGAAUUUUAUGGAACGUCGGUUGAUUAUUACCAAUCUGAAAGUAAAAACAAAAGCUGUCUCGGUAACAUAUUUAAGUUUAAACAAGAAAGUUUACUUAAUAUAUGCAUAAUUUAACCUGGUUAAAUUAAGUCAUUUGGAUUAUUCACAUUUGAUAAUGACCACCCAAAUGAUUGACUGUGUGUAUGCAUACGGUCAUUUGGAAAGGAAAAGUUGAGCUGAGGGAGAUGUACGUUUGACUUUGUACAAUGUAUGAAUACGCGAUUAUGCCAAUAUAUAUCAAGCAUAUCGAAAUGCAGAGUCCAUCAACCCGGCUGAUUCACGUUUUACAACGUACCGGAAAUAAUAAUAAAACUAUGCUUUCGUCCUGGAUAUGCAUAAAAUAUUUGUGAAUGGGCUUUACGCAAACAGCAAUCAAUUUUUUGUCCUCAAUGCUCUUCAACGUUAUACUUUAUUUGGCCUUUUUUUUUUUAUUCGAGCGACACUGCUGAGUCUUUAGUACACGAAACGCGUUUAAUUAGUACUCUCUUAUAUGAUUUUGAUAUACAGUCUAGCAUAUACCAACUUUGUAAAAAUUGAAACUUAUCUGACGUUAGUAUAUCUUGUUGACAACUUAAUCAUCCUUAAAAGAUUCGUGUUUAUUGGUCAAUUAUUCGUACCAAAAAAUAAACUAGAAAUUGCAGACAUGUUAAGUGGAAUGUUAAUCGGAUAGCAUUUUAUGUCUUAGAUUUUCCAUCUCCUUCAACGAAUUUUAUUCAGUGAAAAAGGAAAUGUAAUUUGUCAGACAACAAUUUAUACGUUCAUCUGCUAUUAACUAUGUACACUCGUUAAGUUUAUACGAAAUAAUUUGACCUUUUAAUAUUAAACCACCUACAAGGAAGAGAUAUUAUGUUUUUCUUCCCUAAAUCAAUGACAGUAUAUAAUAUCCAAUAAAUAAAGUUAAAAUCGAGCAUUAAAUUUAACGUAUUAUAUUGCGAAAACAAAUAUUAUUCUGAAUGUCAAAAAAAUGGCAAGGAUGCAAGACUUGAAGUUAUGUUUUUCUAUAGGUAACUUAUGAUGGUGAAACCACAUACAUCGAAGGAAGACGAUAUUAUGUUGUUUUUCUUUCCCUCAAUCAAUACAAUUAUAUAGUAUCCUGUACAUCAUGAUAUUUGAAAUUACAAUUUAAGUAUUUAAUGUGAAAAAAAUUUCAAUUAUUAUUAUAGAUGUCAAAAUAAUAGGAAGGAAGUAAAACUUGUAGAUACAUUUGUUGUAUGGGUAACUCGUGAUGGUAUAUUCCACGUUAUAACAGCAGUCAACCCUGUCGACUAUUGAUAUUCAUUUCACUGUAUCAUGACACACGUAACAAGACGUUUAAAUUGUUUUCUCGAUUUCUUGACAUUUCUAUGGAUACAAUUAAAUAAUUGCAACAAAUCAGUGAUACUUUAGGUUAAUCAAAAUAUGUUAUAAUUAUCCUAAUGGAGGAAAACGCUUUAUAAUUUUAUUUUAUUGCAGUGACUUCACAAUUCAAGGGAAAACACGCAUGUUACUGAAUUAAG